RNAcentral lists this ribosomal RNA (207 nucleotides) under uncultured bacterium. Its description in RNAcentral is "partial 16S ribosomal RNA". It matches the Rfam family "Bacterial small subunit ribosomal RNA", at positions 568 to 774 of the family's 1533-position model. The record is from RNAcentral.
CGCGUAGGUGGUUUGUUAAGUCGGAUGUGAAAGCCCCGGGCUCAACCUGGGAACUGCAUCCGAUACUGGCCGACUAGAGUGCGGGAGAGGGAGGUAGAAUUCCACGUGUAGCGGUGAAAUGCGUAGAUAUGUGGAGGAAUACCGGUGGCGAAGGCGGCCUCCUGGCCUGACACUGACGCUGAGGUGCGAAAGCGUGGGGAGCAAACA